RNAcentral lists this ribosomal RNA (253 nucleotides) under uncultured bacterium. RNAcentral's name for it is "partial 16S ribosomal RNA". It matches the Rfam family "Bacterial small subunit ribosomal RNA", at positions 524 to 776 of the family's 1533-position model. The record is from RNAcentral.
UACGUAGGGUGCAAGCGUUAAUCGGAAUUACUGGGCGUAAAGCGUGCGCAGGCGGUUAUGUAAGACAGAUGUGAAAUCCCCGGGCUCAACCUGGGAACUGCAUUUGUGACUGCAUAGCUAGAGUACGGUAGAGGGGGAUGGAAUUCCGCGUGUAGCAGUGAAAUGCGUAGAUAUGCGGAGGAACACCGAUGGCGAAGGCAAUCCCCUGGACCUGUACUGACGCUCAUGCACGAAAGCAUGGGGAGCAAACAGG